AACGAACGCUGGCGGCAUGCCUAACACAUGCAAGUCGAACGAAGCCUUCGGGCUUAGUGGCGCACGGGUGCGUAACGCGUGGGAAUCUGCCCUUUGGUUCGGUAUAACAGUUGGAAACGACUGCUAAUACCGGAUGAUGACGAAAGUCCAAAGAUUUAUCGCCAGAGGAUGAGCCCGCGUAGGAUUAGCUAGUUGGUGUGGUAAAGGCGCACCAAGGCGACGAUCCUUAGCUGGUCUGCGAGGAUGAUCAGCCACACGGGGACUGAGACACGGCCCAGACUCCUACGGGAGGCAGCAGUGGGGAAUAUUGGACAAUGGGCGAAAGCCUGAUCCAGCAAUGCCGCGUGAGUGAUGAAGACCCUAGGGUUGUAAAGCUCUUUUACCCGGGAUGAUAAUGACAGUACCGGGAGAAUAAGCCCCGGCUAACUCCGUGCCAGCCGCCGCGGUAA
This 449-nucleotide ribosomal RNA is filed under the name uncultured bacterium. Its description in RNAcentral is "partial 16S ribosomal RNA". It matches the Rfam family "Bacterial small subunit ribosomal RNA", at positions 29 to 523 of the family's 1533-position model. The record is from RNAcentral.